ACUUAGUGGCGGACUGGUGAGUAACGCGUGGAUAACCUGCCUUACACUGGGGGAUAACACUUAGAAAUAGGUGCUAAUACCGCAUAAGCGCACGGAGCCGCAUGGCUCAGUGUGAAAAACUCCGGUGGUGUAAGAUGGAUCCGCGUCUGAUUAGCUGGUUGGCGGGGUAGAAGCCCACCAAGGCGACGAUCAGUAGCCGGCCUGAGAGGGUGACCGGCCACAUUGGGACUGAGACACGGCCCAAACUCCUACGGGAGGCAGCAGUGGGGAAUAUUGCACAAUGGGGGAAACCCUGAUGCAGCAACGCCGCGUGAGUGAAGAAGUCAUUCGUGAUGUAAAGCUCUAUCAGCAGGGAAGAAAAUGACGGUACCUGAGUAAGAAGCCCCGGCUAACUACGUGCCAGCAGCCGCGGUAAUACGUAGGGGGCAAGCGUUAUCCGGAUUUACUGGGUGUAAAGGGAGCGUAGACGGCCAGACAAGUCUGAAGUGAAAAUCCAGCGCUUAACGUUGGAAGUGCUUUGGAAACUGCCGGGCUAGAGUGCAGGAGGGGCAGGCGGAAUUCCUAGUGUAGCGGUGAAAUGCGUAGAUAUUAGGAGGAACACCAGUGGCGAAGGCGGCCUGCUGGACUGCAACUGACGUUGAGGCUCGAAGGCGUGGGGAGCAAACAGGAUUAGAUACCCUGGUAGUCCACGCGGUAAACGAUGAUUACUAGGUGUCGGGGGGCUAGAGCCCUUCGGUGCCGUC
Molecule: ribosomal RNA, 743 nt
Filed under: uncultured bacterium
Lineage: Bacteria
Description: bacterial SSU rRNA
Rfam family: Bacterial small subunit ribosomal RNA
Source: RNAcentral